Long non-coding RNA from Parus major (Great Tit), 340 nucleotides. RefSeq lists it as uncharacterized. Lineage: Eukaryota; Metazoa; Chordata; Aves; Passeriformes; Paridae. The transcript has 2 exons. The record is from RefSeq and is a predicted model, not a curated record.
CCCGCGGUACGCACUUGUUCCAUGGAACUGCCGAGGCUUUCUGCCCGCUCUGCUGAAAGGUACCUCACACUGAAAUUCACCGUAUACAGAUGUCUGUAGGUCCUACUUUUGCCUGUGGAUUCCAGGAAGAAAAGCCUGCCUUUGUUCCACCUUACAUGAAGGCUCAGCACUGCCCCAUGACCCCAGCCAGGUUGAGAAAUCUGGAGCCUUGAGGAAAUGAGAUGGCAACAUAUCUUGUUCUCUCCACACCCACACCCUCCUCUUUCCCUCCCUCAGUGCACAAUGUGAAUUGUUGCAAAGCAUUCUGAACAAGAAAAUAAAGUAGCUGAUGCUUACCAGG